GAGAGAAAGAAAUUGAUUGAGAUUGCCAUUACUGUCAAAGAUAAUUUUUCUUUAUCACCACUAAGAAAAAAUAGCUUUGAAGUCUCUUUCUUUAAACCAUUAUUAAAAUGAUGACAAAAAUAAAGGACAACUGUUAGUUUUAAUACAUGAAUAACAAACUACAAAGAAAUUAAGUUAUUUCUGAAUGAAUGCUUUUAAAUAUUGAAAAGAAUGAAAAACAUCACGUUUAAAGAAAAAAACUAGCCCAGAAUUGCGUAGAAUCAGGAAAAACAGGUGCUCUCAUUCACUGUUUGUUGAGAGUGUAAACUCUGGAUAUGAUUAUAUAAAAAUAUAAAAGCUCUAAAUAAAUUUGCUUUGUGGAAUUCCUGGGACUUCUACUAAUUUAUAACAAAUGAAAUUAGUCCAUGAAAAAAUGAUUUAGCUACAUAAAUGAUCACUGCAGCCUUGUUUAUAAUGAGGAAAAUUAGAAAUAAUUUUAUCACUUUUCCUCAUCAAACGACAGUGCCUCUAAUCCCUUACUCAUGGGAACAUUUGCCAUGUCCUAGGCCCACUUCUGUUUAUCAUUUCCUUGACACGUUUUAACUUUUGUGCACAAGUUCUUAUUUAUUUUAAAAGAAUAUUUUCUACCCAUGGUAUUUAUUAACAGUUAGCAUUGCUUGUGAUUUCUUUAACAAAGUAGUAAACAGGAAUAAAUACAAUGAAAAAUAAAACUACAUUAUUAAAAUUUUAGAUAGUACUGCUGAAGGUUAUGAAAGAAACAGGUAAGUACGAGAAGGGUGUAAAGGGUAUAUGGGCACUGAACAGACUUUUGCUUUGUCAUUAGCAGAUGAACUUCAAAAAAGCAUCUAGAAAGGUAGUAACUUCCUUACAAUACUAUCCAGUAUUACUUAAUUGGAGUAAUCACUUAAUACUGGGUCAGGGUAUCACCUAAAAUAUCUGUCACCACCUAAUAUCAGAAGUAGGUAUUACAUACUUUGGGUAACACUGGAUUAACUCAAUUAAAAUAAUAUUAAUGCAAAGUAUUAUUAAUAAUAAAUAUAUGUAUGAUGUAGCAGUUAUAAAAUAAUAUUGUAAAGUAUUUUUCUUAAUAAAAGGAAAAUUAUGUGCUUCUCUGUUAACAAAGACAAGGCAGGAUUCGGAAUCACAGACUCCGUCAAUUCAUUCUAACCAGCUUGAAUUUUAAUAACAUAACAUACAUAGGCACAGGUAAAUUCUGGAAGAAUAUAACCAUAAUAACUUUGGUAUUUGAGAUUACAGGUCCUUUGUUUUAUGCUCAUUUGAAAUUUCUUUCUUUAUGUAAUACGUUUUCUAAAUUUUAUAUGAAACUAUUAACCAUGAAUUCCUAAAUUUAGUUUGAGCUCUUGAUCAUUCUUGAGCAGAAAAAUGAAAGCAUGAGAACAGGUGUAAGCCCUUUGUACCUUAAAAAAGAGGAAAUCUGCUACCAGUAAAUGAAUUAUAUAACUACUAAUUAGACCAAUUAUAAAGUAGCCAUUAAAUUUCUUAUAAAGCAUUAAAGCCAUCUAAUAAUGAUGUUGAUUUCUUUAACUAUCAAAAUAUGUGGCAAACACCAGAACCUACAGAAUAACACACAGCAUAUUUUAUACUCAUGUUGUCUGCUGUAGAAGAAGAAAAGUAUAUAGUGUUAACAAGAAAGUCUACUUCAUAAAUCAGAACUCUCUAAUUACUGACCUUGGAGAAUAUAAAAAUACAUUACAUUAAAAAUUUUUUCCCAGCCAUUUAGCAACUUGCUAGUUAUCCUACCUCAUGUCUGCUUAAGAAACAGAUGCAACACCAGUUGCCUCUAUUUGUACAUUAUUAAGCAGCUGGAAUGCAUUUAAACCACUUUGAGGAUAGCAGAUUCGUUCUUAAAAAUAAACCAAUUCAAACACCACUACAUAUUAUCUGUAAAUAGAAUUGAAAGCCUAGGCACAUAUUUUUUAAAAGACCCCUAAGAGAGAAUGCAAAACCAACAAAAAUAUUAAUAAUGGCAUUCUUGAUAUUUAAGCUCAAUUUCAAAAGCUUCUUAAAAGCCUAUGUUAUCUGUGUUAAAAAAUAUAUUCAGACAGAGUAUAUCAGGACAAAAAUGAAUAUUCUGUUCAAAAUCUCAACUCUCUUAAGUUAAAUACAUAAUUUAUAUUUAAUAUUUACUUAUAUGUACAAACACAUAACAAAGGAGAAAACUAAAACUGCAUUAAAAAAGUUUAAUUAAAAAAAUACUGUCUGAGACAAAAGAAUCCAUUACUAAAUAAACCCAAGUGAAACAGUUCAUCAUAGAUACGGAAUAAAAAGUAGAAUGGUUCUAUUAGUGUUCAGAAUGAAUUAUUUGUAAGGGCAUAAAAUGAUCAAGACAUUGUUUUAGACCAGUUACUGAUUAUAUGAAGUAAAUUUUUUUUUCAGAACAAUUAACCAGAAGGUAAAGUCCACAAGGAUAAGAAGUUUUGUUCACUGCAAUAUUUUCAAGGGCUAGAACAGUAUUUGACAAAUACAUGUUGAGUGAAAAAUGAAUAAUUUAUCUUUUAAAGUCAUCACUAAGUAAUCGUUUUAAAGUACUGUUCCAUAGAAUUUGAGAAUUAAGAUGAUACAGGCAUAUCUAACUCUACUAUACAAAAAAGUCCCACGGUCUCAGAAUUAAAAUUAUCAAUUACAUGAAUUAAAACAUAAAAUAAUCUCUCUCACCAUAAUCUUUCUUUCAGUACCCCCUAACCCCCCAAAAUAAGACAAUUAAAUUCUCAAAAAUAAUGCCCACAAUAUCUUUAUAGUAAGAAUUCUGUUUUAUAAAGGAGAGGAUGUGAGAUUUUAUCAUAAAUCUAAUUUCUUAUAGCGAUCUAAACUAUUUUUAUUAUAAAUCUAAAAAGGACAAGCUAACAGAAAAGCGAGUAUCAGAAAUGCUACUCAAUCAACUAAUCACUUGAUACUGAAAUGAUACACUUUAAAUUAUUGGGAAAACAUGAAGUCCAAAACAUGCUGAAAAUUCAUACUAUAGCCAUCUGUGUUUGUCAUUUGAAAGCCAAUUAUAAAAAUGUUAACAUAUGCAGGCAGCACAGAAAUAGUUGAGAUUUACUAGAAAGAUAUGUCCACAUACACUUGUGCUUGAAAACUGAUUCAGAGCUCAAGAAAGUAUCUUACCCUGACUAGAACGUGAAUAAACUAAAUAAAAAUGACUGAUAAUUUAUUAAACUCAAUAUUUGAAACUUUACAGAUGAUCAUCCUCAAUGAAACAAGGACUUCUUAAAAUGCUGUAUAGAACAUGCCAAGUUCUUAUGUCACUUCAAAAAAAACUGCUAAUUGAAAUACGUUGUUUCUUACUUGAGUGUUUACUACGUGCCAGGCACUGUGCUAGACAUGAGCUAAAAUACGUGGUCCUAAUAGUAGGAUGUUUUAGUCUAGGCUAGCCUAUUACUUCACUGAAUUGUGUGAAACAAAUAAGAUAAAAGUUAGUGUACAAUUUCAUAAACUCAACAGUCCUCAAUACAUCUCUAAGAAGGUGGUAUGGGAUUCUCUCGUCCUAGUACUCUCAAAAUAGGCUUUCUGUAAGUGGCGUGGUUGUAGAGUUUUAUAUCUGUGAAGGAGAUAACUUGGCAUAUGAUAGGUAGUAAGUAAUUCAAUUAUUUAGCAAAUAUUUAUUGACAGUUACCUAUCAUGUGUCCAGCCAGUGCUAAGGGCAGGGCAGGUAGUGAUGAAUCAUAUACAAACUCUACUCCUAUGAACUGUCAUUCAAAUAGGAAGAGCAAAUUAAACAAAUACAGAUAAAUACAGAAAUAUAUCAUUUUAGGAGAUAAAAUGUGCUCCGAAGAAAAGAGUAUAGGUGGUAAAGAAAGCAUUCAACAGAGAGACUUAAUUUGGAUGGGAAUGUGGGGAGAGGUCAGGAAGUAUUGAGAAAAUAAUAAGUGGCAAAAUAGAACAAGAACAUCUGACUCCAAAUCCAGUAUUCUUUCCAUUAUACCAAUUUGCAUGUCAUGCAUUCUGAGCUCUCUUUUUGUUCAUUUGUCAUUAUUCUUCAAAUCCUAGAACACUAAGUUUAAAGGCACAAACAAAUGAAAUCACUAAGCAAAUACUUUUUUGACAAGACUGAGGGAAAACACACAUAUAAAAACACACAUAACACACACCACACACCUCCAAAAGAAAAUAUUAUAAGGUAUUUUGAAAAUAUUGUCUAUUCUCUCCAGUUUUCAAAAUUGCUAAAAGUAGAGCUACUUUCCAUGUUUUUGCUACAGAAAAUUUAAGAUCCUAAUUAAUUCUGAUUAUGGUGAUUAUUUGUACUUGUCAGUGCUGUCUUUAAACCUUUUUAAUAUUCCUCAAUGAAUGUUGCACAAGAAUGCUCUACAAACUAUUACAGCAAAGCUCCAGGGGCCCAACUAUGGAAACAAAAAGAUUACAACAGUUGACCCAAACAUAAUUUGUAUUUUAUGUAGAGUGAAGUAGGGCAACUGAAAGCAAAGACAAAAGCAACUUUUUGUGCUGUGAAGCAUAUUUUCCAACAAUUCUCAGAGAUAGAAACUGUUGGACAAUAACAGUGCCAAACAGACCAGGAAAAUCAGAUAUGGCUUUACAUUACUGAGCCACUUACCCUAUUUAUAUCCUAUAAUCUCAUUGAAUGCAGAUUUUUUUCCUCAAAAGUUUUGGAAAAUUAUGCCUAAGAAGAAAGCAGAUUCUACAGACUCAGAAAUCACCUUAAUUUUACAUAUUUUAACAUGUUUCAUUGUCUGGCACAUAGCAGGCACAAAUAUUUGUUGAAUGAAAAUGCUUCAGAAAGAAGAUGGAUUACACAUAAUAGAAUACCAGACUGCUGGGUCUACAGAGACUAAUAAGCUAGCUAUGUGACAAAGGACAGGCCACUUAACCUCUGCAGAACUGUUUCUUCAACUGUAAAAUGAAGAGGGAUUCAAGGAUCUUUCCUCAAAAAGAUUCAAGGAUCUUUUAAGAUUUUUUCCAAAUUUAAGGGCCUUUUUGGAGAAAUUUUUUCAACUGUCCCCUUUCUAUUCUCCUCUCCCUAUUUCACUUAGUUAUAAAAGAGAAAAACUAGAAUUCUACAUUUUAAAAAAAAGCUUGCUUGAAAAAACAAUUCAAUAAACAGUGUCUA
Molecule: long non-coding RNA, 5083 nt
Organism: Phyllostomus discolor (pale spear-nosed bat)
Lineage: Eukaryota; Metazoa; Chordata; Mammalia; Chiroptera; Phyllostomidae
Exons: 2
Source: RefSeq, a predicted model, not a curated record